Molecule: ribosomal RNA, 336 nt
Filed under: uncultured Sphingomonas sp.
Lineage: Bacteria; Pseudomonadati; Pseudomonadota; Alphaproteobacteria; Sphingomonadales; Sphingomonadaceae
Description: bacterial SSU rRNA
Rfam family: Bacterial small subunit ribosomal RNA
Source: RNAcentral
UGCAUGGCUGUCGUCAGCUCGUGUCGUGAGAUGUUGGGUUAAGUCCCGGCAACGAGCGCAACCCUCGACUUUAGUUACCAUCAUUAAGUUGGGACUUUAAGUAACCGCCGGUGAUAAGCCGGAGGAAGUGGGGAUGACGUCAAGUCCUCAUGGCCCUUACGCGCUGGGCUACACACGUGCUACGAUGGCAAGUACAGUGGGCAGCAAUCCCGCGAGGGUGAGCUAAUCUCCAAAACUUGUCUCAGUUCGGAUUGUUCUCUGCAACUCGAGAGCAUGAAGGCGGAAUCGCUAGUAAUCGCGGAUCAGCAUGCCGCGGUGAAUACGUUCCCAGGCCUU